This is a non-coding RNA of Acanthosepion pharaonis, 113 nucleotides long. The record is from the annotation of a GenBank genome assembly. NCBI's taxonomy places the organism in Eukaryota, Metazoa, Mollusca, Cephalopoda, Sepiida, Sepiidae.
UUACGGCCAUACCACGUCGAAACACCGAUAUUGAUCCGAUCACCGAAUUUAAACAACAUUGCGCCUGGUUAGUACCUAGAUGGACAACCGUUUGGGAAUACUAGCAGUUGUAA